AUUCACGCCAGCGUAUUUAAUUUGCAUUUGAUAGCAUGCUAAUGUGAUGGAAAUUAAUGGAAUUUGCGCUCUAAUAAUCUAUACUUAUGCUAUAUUUUUGAGGAGACUUAUUUAAAAUCAAAAAAUGAAAAGACCAGUUGGUCAGGCGGAAAAUUGCGUUGAUGAUUAAUUUGAGACACUAAUAACUUCAGACACUAUUAAUUUGUGGCGUGGUGCUAAUUUGAUAGAAAUUCUCUAAAACUUGCGCUCUAUGAUAAUCGCUAUUGAUCCUACAUUUUUGGGAAGGAGACGUGUUGAUAAAAUAAAAUAAAAAAUGAAAAAAUCAGUGGGCAAGGCGUAAAAUUGCGUUGAUGAUCAGAUACAUUAGAAUACGUUUGAUUCACGCGAACGUACGUGGUAGCAUGCUAAUUUGAUAGAAAUUCUCUAAAACUUGCGCUGUAAUAAUCGCCAUUGAUCUUACAUUUUUGGGAAGGAGACGUGUUGAUAAAAUAAAAAAUGAAAAAAAGCAGUGGGCCAGGCGUAAAAUUGCGUUGAUGAUCAGAUACAUUAGAAUACGUUUGAUUCACACGAACGUACUAAUUUGCAUUUUGUGCCGUGGUAGCAUGCUAAUUUGAUAGAAAUUCUCUAAAACUUGCGCUCUAAUAAUCACCAUUUAUCCUAUAUUUUUGGAAAGGAGAUGUGUUGAUAAGAUAAAAAAAUAAAAAAACAGUUGGCCAGGCGCAAAAUUGCGUUGAUUACUACAUUGAUUAGAACACGUUUAAUUCACGCCAGCGUAUUUAAUUUGCAUUUGAUGGCAUGCUAAUGUGAUGGAAAUUAAUGGAAUUUGCGCUUUAAUAAUCUACACUUAUGCUAUAUUUUUGAGAAGGAGACUUAUUUAAAAUCAAAAAAAUGAAAAGACCAGUUGGUCAGGCGGAAAAUUGCAUUGAUGAUUAAUUUGAGACACUAAUAACUUCAGACACUAUAAAACUUGCGCUCUAUGAUAAUCGCUAUUGAUCCUACAUUUUUGGGAAGGAGACGUGUUGAUAAAAUAAAAUAAAAAAUGAAAAAAUCAGUGGGCAAGGCGUAAAAUUGCGUUGAUGAUCAGAUACAUUAGAAUACGUUUGAUUCACACGAACGUACGUGGUAGCAUGCUAAUUUGAUAGAAAUUCUCUAAAACUUGCGCUGUAAUAAUCGCCAUUGAUCUUACAUUUUUGGGAAGGAGACGUGUUGAUAAAAUAAAAAAUGAAAAAAAGCAGUGGGCCAGGCGUAAAAUUGCGUUGAUGAUCAGAUACAUUAGAAUACGUUUGAUUCACGCGAACAUACUAAUUUGCAUUUUGUGCCGUGGUAGCAUGCUAAUUUGAUAGAAAUUCUCUAAAACUUGCGCUCUAAUAAUCGCCAUGUAAUCUAUAUUUUUGGGAAGGAGACGUUUUGAUAAAAUAAAAAAAUGAAAAAAUCAGUGGGCCAGGCGUAAAAUUGCGUUGAUGAUCAGAUACAUUAGAAUACGUUUGAUUCACGCGAACGUACUAAUUUGCAUUUCGUGCCGUGGUAGCAUGCUAAUUUGAUAGAAAUUCUCUAAAACUUGCGCUCUAAUGAUCGCCAUUUAUCCUAUAUUUUUGGAAAGGAGACGUGUUGAUAAAAUAAAAAAUAAAAAAAAACAGUUGGCCAGGCGCAAAAUUGCGUUGAUUACUAGAUUGAUUAGAACACGUUUAAUUCACGCCAGCGUAUUUAAUUUGCAUUUGAUAGCAUGCUAAUGUAUGGAAAUUAAUGGAAUUUGCGCUCUAAUAAUCUAUACUUAUGCUAUAUUUUUGAGGAGACUUAUUUAAAAUCAAAAAAUGAAAAGACCAGUUGGUCAGGCGGAAAAUUGCGUUGAUGAUUAAUUUGAGACACUAAUAACUUCAGACACUAUUAAUUUGUGGCGUGGUGCUAAUUUGAUAGAAAUUCUCUAAAACUUGCGCUCUAUGAUAAUCGCUAUUGAUCCUACAUUUUUGGGAAGGAGACGUGUUGAUAAAAUAAAAUAAAAAAUGAAAAAAUCAGUGGGCAAGGCGUAAAAUUGCGUUGAUGAUCAGAUACAUUAGAAUACGUUUGAUUCACGCGAACGUACGUGGUAGCAUGCUAAUUUGAAAGAAAUUCUCUAAAACUUGCGCUGUAAUAAUCGCCAUUGAUCUUACAUUUUUGGGAAGGAGACGUGUUGAUAAAAUAAAAAAUGAAAAAAAGCAGUGGGCCAGCCGUAAAAUUGCGUUGAUGAUCAGAUACAUUAGAAUACGUUUGAUUCACGCGAACGUACUAAUUUGCAUUUUGUGCCG
This is a non-coding RNA of Paramuricea clavata, 2282 nucleotides long. The record is from the annotation of a GenBank genome assembly. NCBI's taxonomy places the organism in Eukaryota, Metazoa, Cnidaria, Anthozoa, Malacalcyonacea, Plexauridae.